Molecule: long non-coding RNA, 1521 nt
Organism: Rhagoletis zephyria (snowberry fruit fly)
Lineage: Eukaryota; Metazoa; Arthropoda; Insecta; Diptera; Tephritidae
Source: RefSeq, a predicted model, not a curated record
AUUAAAAAAAAAAAAACCAAAAUUAGUCGAGCGCUGUAAUAUUAAAAAAAAAAUUGCACCCAGCUUUCUAAAACCUUCGUCAUUCGCAAAAAAAUAUAUAUAUGUAUAUGACGCCUAAGUAAACCUUGAAAAGCGAAUGAAGUGGGUAUUUUUAGCUUUAUUUUCAGAUAACCAACCGGCCCAUCGGGACCUCUUCGGUCGCAUGAUAAAUCCAAGCCUGUUAAGGACUUCUUCGAUAAGCUUAAACAUUUAACAGUGAGAAAUACAGCACGACGGCAUUGAGCGCGUGGAUACUACGGGGCCAUAAGUAACGCGAUCGCCCAAAAGUUGGCACGAAAAAGAUUCUGAGUUGUAUUUAUGGGACCGAGAUGUUUUUGUGGUCUCAGUUGGUCUUCUUAGAAAGAAAUAAUCACUAAUUAGUGUGUAAACUUAGAAGGAAGUACAUAAGUGCGGUAAAGCACUAAGACCGCCUAUCAGACCACACUCUUCGCUCAUAUUUUUAAUAGGAAGGUUAUUAGUCCCCUAAAUAGAGCAGAUCACGGAAUACUCUUUGGAAAAGGAAUUUAAAAUAGGGCUUUGCAACAAAUCAACUUGAGAUAUCCUUGGUUGGUUUAAGUGGAUUUUCCUGGUGACAAGCAGUUAGCAACUUUGCCAUUUUGAUUCCACAACUCGGGCAACCUACAGCCAUUUGGCGGCUAAAAUGAAUUUCAGUACGUCAUACGGAGAGAGGUAGCUGUACUCUGAAAUAAUCUGCAGGUAUGGUUUGCCGAGUGUCUUCAGCCACAUUCCCGCGAGAGCUGGACACUCGCCCAGAAAGUGUUCGACAGAACUUAUUGAAGGGCAAUCCAAUCCUUUCAGCAUGUACCUAAACGGGUCAGUGCUCUGUGUACACUGCAGUAAAUUUGUUAGUACAUACAUCAAUAUUAUGUUCGCUUAAGUACCCGCAUCGAGGUACAUUUUUCAUGAGGUACUUAAGCGGGGUUUGCUGUAUCUUCUUUGCUCAUUCCUAAAAGAGCUUUGGGUUUAGGUAGUUCCACCUCUGCUUGGUCCUCGAGUGGUAAAGUACGAAAAUAAAAACGGCUCUAAGCUAAGACGAUGGCGUUGGUUUCCAAAUCUACUAGAUAAGGUUGUAGAAAUUCCCGAGCAUUUUUAAGCCGAAGCUCUACGCCAUUAGUCUAAGUGCUAAGUAUAACUUACGUAGAAUUUAAUGAGUGCAUUUUAGUCUUUAGCAACAGCCAGACUAAAGGCUUUCUUAUCUUUUAAUUAGGCAAACCAAACAACUUUGACAAUUGCCUCUUUCCUUGGCAUAUUUGCGCCAGUUGUUCAUCCCAAGUGCAUUUGGUCCUUCCAUUUUUUGUGGUAGCUCUUAUUAUUUACGCUUUGAACCAUUAAAUUGAAAAAGUAGCUCGAGAGUGAAACGUCUUGUCUAAAACAUCAUUACGGUCUCAAACGAAGAGGAGAAAUCAUUCCCAAUUUGCACGGAGCUGAGGUUGCGCUCAACGUACACUAAAUAGCUGUAUU